Molecule: non-coding RNA, 622 nt
Organism: Ictidomys tridecemlineatus (thirteen-lined ground squirrel)
Lineage: Eukaryota; Metazoa; Chordata; Mammalia; Rodentia; Sciuridae
Source: RefSeq, a predicted model, not a curated record
ACCCAACGGCGUUCUGGGCUGCGGAUUCAUUGGCUUCCCCCACCCACAGCAGGACGUGGCCUUAAGUCUCUCUGCCUUAGUCAACUUGGGCCGCCGUAACAGAAUACAACAGACUGGGUGGCUUCAACAUCAGGAAUUUAUUUCUCACAGUUCUGGAGGCUAAAGGAUGAUGAUUAGAAGUCUCAGGUUGCAAGGCUGCUUCAUGGACAUUCAGUAGGCCCUGCUUGCACCAGCUGCUGGGCACAUCAAGGGGGCCCCAUGCAUCCUGAGAAGAGCCCACAGUCUGGAGGGUCGAUGGACACAGGACUGGACUCUGAGCAGUUUGUUCUCACUGGCCUCUGCUUCCGCCUCUCAAGUCUGUUCUACUUCUGUUGUCCUCUGACCAGCUAAUAUUCCCCACUCAGGCCCCCCUGCCACCUUGCAAAUCCCCCCUUGGAUUAACUGAUGCAGUCUACAACCUCCUAUCCAAGCUUGCCCUUCACUAUCCAUCCCCGGGAAAAGUGAUCCAGGAACUAGUCCACACUGAGAUGGGUCCCUGUGCCUCUCCCAGGGGUAUAGUACAGGAGCCAAAUAAAUAACACUCCAAAGAGGGCAUUUGAGGCCUUGGGGAAGAGCUGGUUCA